UACAGAGGGUGCGAGCGUUGUUCGGAAUUACUGGGCGUAAAGCGCGCGCAGGCGGCCUUUUAAGUCCAUCGGUGAAAUGCCGGGGCUCAACCCCGUUGCAGGCCGAGGAUACUGGGAGGCUGGAGACACGUAGAGGCAAGCGGAAUUCCGGGUGUAGCGGUGGAAUGCGUAGAGAUCCGGAAGAACACCGGAGGCGAAGGCGGCUUGCUGGGCGUGAUCUGACGCUGAGGCGCGAAAGCGUGGGGAGCGAACAGG
Molecule: ribosomal RNA, 255 nt
Filed under: uncultured bacterium
Lineage: Bacteria
Description: partial 16S ribosomal RNA
Rfam family: Bacterial small subunit ribosomal RNA
Source: RNAcentral